RNAcentral lists this ribosomal RNA (465 nucleotides) under uncultured bacterium. RNAcentral's name for it is "bacterial SSU rRNA". It matches the Rfam family "Bacterial small subunit ribosomal RNA", at positions 338 to 795 of the family's 1533-position model. The record is from RNAcentral.
CCUACGGGUGGCAGCAGUGGGGAAUAUUGGACAAUGGGGGAAACCCUGAUCCAGCAACGCCGCGUGAAUGAAGAAGGCCUUCGGGUUGUAAAGUUCUUUUGUCUAGGAGCAAAGCUUGCGGGUAAAUAAUCUGUGAGGUAGAGAGUACUAGAAGAAUAAGCACCGGCUAACUACGUGCCAGCAGCCGCGGUAAUACGUAGGGUGCGAGCGUUAAUCGGAAUUACUGGGCGUAAAGGGUGCGCAGGCGGUUAUUUAAGUUAGAAGUGAAAGCCCUGGGCUUAACCUAGGAAUAGCUUUUAAUACUGGGUAACUAGAGUAUGUAAGAGGGGGGUAGAAUUCCGAGUGUAGCAGUGAAAUGCGUAGAUAUUCGGAGGAAUACCGAUGGCGAAGGCAGCCCCCUGGGAUGAUACUGACGCUGAGGCACGAAAGCGUGGGGAGCAAACAGGAUUAGAUACCCCUGUAGUC